RNAcentral lists this ribosomal RNA (136 nucleotides) under uncultured eukaryote. Its description in RNAcentral is "partial 18S ribosomal RNA". It matches the Rfam family "Eukaryotic small subunit ribosomal RNA", at positions 1299 to 1458 of the family's 1831-position model. The record is from RNAcentral.
UGGUGGAGCGAUUUGUCUGGUUAAUUCCGAUAACGAACGAGACUCUAGCCUGCUAAAUAGUACGCCGAUCUCUAUGUCGGCGCGUACUUCUUAGAGGGACAAGUAGCGGAUAGCUACACGAAAUUGAGCAAUAACA